ACGCACGCUGGCGGCGUGCUUAACACAUGCACGUCGAACGGAAAGGCCCCUUUGGGGGUACUCGAGUGGCGACCGGGUGAGUAACACGUGAGUAACCUGCCCUUGACUUCGGGAUAACUUCAGGAAACUGGGGCUAAUACCGGAUAGGAAUCCUUGCUGCAUGGUGGGGGUUGGAAAGCUUCGGCGGUUUUGGAUGGACUCGCGGCUUAUCAGCUUGUUGGUGGGGUAGUGGCUUACCAAGGCUUUGACGGGUAGCCGGCCUGAGAGGGCGACCGGCCACAUUGGGACUGAGAUACGGCCCAGACUCCUACGGGAGGCAGCAGUGGGGAAUAUUGCACAAUGGGCGGAAGCCUGAUGCAGCAACGCCGCGUGCGGGAUGACGGCCUUCGGGUUGUAAACCGCGUUCAGCAGGGGCGAAGCUUGUGGUGACGGUACCUGCAGAAGAAGCACCGGCUAACUACGUG
Molecule: ribosomal RNA, 464 nt
Filed under: uncultured bacterium
Lineage: Bacteria
Description: partial 16S ribosomal RNA
Rfam family: Bacterial small subunit ribosomal RNA
Source: RNAcentral